Non-coding RNA from Caretta caretta (loggerhead turtle), 304 nucleotides. Lineage: Eukaryota; Metazoa; Chordata; Testudines; Cheloniidae. The record is from RefSeq and is a predicted model, not a curated record.
CAGUAACUAGCAGCAUGGGGUGCGUGCCUCCACUGAUAAGUGCGCUGCUGCGCAGCCAAGUUACUCAGGCUGGUGGUGAGAGUGAAGCCUACGAACGACACGCGGAGGAUGCCAAUCAGCACUACCAAUAAACAGCGGUCCCCAAGAACUGGUGUCUCCAUGUGGUAUCACUGAAAACUAUGCAGAUAAAUUAUAUCCAUUCGUACCAGCUGGAGCUUUGAAGCAGGAGGAUGGUGUUACUCAAAGCUGGGGAGUGUGGUGGCACAUCCCAGAAGUGGCUGCAUGGGAAAAAUGUUUUUUGUUU